AUUGAACGCUGGCGGCAGGCCUAACACAUGCAAGUCGAACGGUAACAGGAAGCAGCUUGCUGCUUUGCUGACGAGUGGCGGACGGGUGAGUAAUGUCUGGGAAACUGCCUGAUGGAGGGGGAUAACUACUGGAAACGGUAGCUAGUACCGCAUAACGUCGCAAGACCAAAGAGGGGGACCUUCGGGCCUCUUGCCAUCGGAUGUGCCCAGAUGGGAUUAGCUAGUAGGUGGGGUAACGGCUCACCUCGGCGACGAUCCCUAGCUGGUCUGAGAGGAUGACCAGCCACACUGGAACUGAGACACGGUCCAGACUCCUACGGGAGGCAGCAGUGGGGAAUAUUGCACAAUGGGCGGAAGCCUGAUGCAGCCAUGCCGCGUGGAUGAAGAAGGCCUUCGGGUUGUAAAGUACUUUCAGCGGGGAGGAAGGGAGUAAAGUUAAUACCUUUGCUCAUUGACGUUACCCGCAGAAGAAGCACCGGCUAACUCCGUG
Molecule: ribosomal RNA, 490 nt
Filed under: uncultured bacterium
Lineage: Bacteria
Description: partial 16S ribosomal RNA
Rfam family: Bacterial small subunit ribosomal RNA
Source: RNAcentral